GGGUGAGUAACACGUGGGUAAUCUGCCCUGCACUUCGGGAUAAGCCUGGGAAACUGGGUCUAAUACCGGAUAGGACCUCGAGGCGCAUGCCUUGUGGUGGAAAGCUUUUGCGGUGUGGGAUGGGCCCGCGGCCUAUCAGCUAGUUGGUGGGGUGACGGCCUACCAAGGCGACGACGGGUAGCCGGCCUGAGAGGGUGUCCGGCCACACUGGGACUGAGAUACGGCCCAGACUCCUACGGGAGGCAGCAGUGGGGAAUAUUGCACAAUGGGCGCAAGCCUGAUGCAGCGACGCCGCGUGGGGGAUGACGGCCUUCGGGUUGUAAACCUCUUUCAGCAGGGACGAAGCGCAAGUGACGGUACCUGCAGAAGAAGCACCGGCCAACUACGUGCCAGCAGCCGCGGUAAUACGUAGGGUGCGAGCGUUGUCCGGAAUUACUGGGCGUAAAGAGCUCGUAGGUGGUUUGUCGCGUUGUUCGUGAAAUCUCACGGCUUAACUGUGAGCGUGCGGGCGAUACGGGCAGACUGGAGUACUGCAGGGGAGACUGGAAUUCCUGGUGUAGCGGUGGAAUGCGCAGAUAUCAGGAGGAACACCGGUGGCGAAGGCGGGUCUCUGGGCAGUAACUGACGCUGAGGAGCGAAAGCGUGGGGAGCGAACAGGAUUAGAUACCCUGGUAGUCCACGCCGUAAACGGUGGGUACUAGGUGUGGGUUUCCUUCCUUGGGAUCCGUGCCGUAGCUAACGCAUUAAGUACCCCGCCUGGGGAGUACGGCCGCAAGGCUAAAACUCAAAGGAAUUGACGGGGGCCCGCACAAGCGGCGGAGCAUGUGGAUUAAUUCGAUGCAACGCGAAGAACCUUACCUGGGUUUGACAUGCACAGGACGCCGGCAGAGAUGUCGGUUCCCUUGUGGCCUGUGUGCAGGUGGUGCAUGGCUGUCGUCAGCUCGUGUCGUGAGAUGUUGGGUUAAGUCCCGCAACGAGCGCAACCCUUGUCUCAUGUUGCCAGCGGGUAAUGCCGGGGACUCGUGAGAGACUGCCGGGGUCAACUCGGAGGAAGGUGGGGAUGACGUCAAGUCAUCAUGCCCCUUAUGUCCAGGGCUUCACACAUGCUACAAUGGCCGGUACAAAGGGCUGCGAUGCCGCAAGGUUAAGCGAAUCCUUUUAAAGCCGGUCUCAGUUCGGAUCGGGGUCUGCAACUCGACCCCGUGAAGUCGGAGUCGCUAGUAAUCGCAGAUCAGCAACGCUGCGGUGAAUACGUUCCCGGGCCUUGUACACACCGCCCGUCACGUCAUGAAAGUCGGUAACACCCGAAGCCAGUGGCCUAACCCUUUGGGAGGGAGCUGUCGAAGGUGGG
RNAcentral lists this ribosomal RNA (1351 nucleotides) under Mycobacterium interjectum. RNAcentral's name for it is "bacterial SSU rRNA". It matches the Rfam family "Bacterial small subunit ribosomal RNA", at positions 104 to 1466 of the family's 1533-position model. Lineage: Bacteria; Bacillati; Actinomycetota; Actinomycetes; Mycobacteriales; Mycobacteriaceae. The record is from RNAcentral.